GUAGUGAGGAUAGGUGUAUAGUUAAUAGCAUUACACUGUGACGUUAGCUACAGAAGAAGCACCGGCAAACUCCGUGCCAGCAGCCGCGGUAAUACGGAGGGUGCGAGCGUUAAUCGGAAUUACUGGGCGUAAAGCGCAUGCAGGCGGCCUGUUAAGUCAGAUGUGAAAGCCCCGGGGCUUAACCUCGGAAUUGCAUUUGAAACUGGCAGGCUAGAGUCUUGUAGAGGGGGUAGAAUUUCAGGUGUAGCGGUGAAAUGCGUAGAGAUCUGAAGGAAUACCAGUGGCGAAGGCGGCCCCCUGGACAAAGACUGACGCUCAGAUGCGAAAGCGUGGGGAGCAAACAGGAUUAGAUACCCUGGUAG
Molecule: ribosomal RNA, 362 nt
Filed under: uncultured bacterium
Lineage: Bacteria
Description: bacterial SSU rRNA
Rfam family: Bacterial small subunit ribosomal RNA
Source: RNAcentral